Molecule: long non-coding RNA, 229 nt
Organism: Agrilus planipennis (emerald ash borer)
Lineage: Eukaryota; Metazoa; Arthropoda; Insecta; Coleoptera; Buprestidae
Exons: 3
Source: RefSeq, a predicted model, not a curated record
AACAACCAUAUAAAUGCAAAGCCGCAUUAAGGCAACUACUAGAGAGUUGCCAGUGCUACAAAAUGCAAGCAGUAGAAAUUAUUGUGUUGUUAGUAACAAUAUUAAAGUUAACUCAUGCACAACAACUUAACACAAAUUCAUUUCCUGAUGACUUUUUAUUUGGUGUAGGGACUUCUGCGUAUCAAGUUGAAGGAGCAUGGAAUGAAAGUGGUACUGUACAGUUAUACGU